AGUGAACGCUGGCGGUAGGCCUAACACAUGCAAGUCGAACGGCAGCACAGUAAGAGCUUGCUCUUACGGGUGGCGAGUGGCGGACGGGUGAGGAAUACAUCGGAAUCUACUUUUUCGUGGGGGAUAACGUAGGGAAACUUACGCUAAUACCGCAUACGACCUACGGGUGAAAGCAGGGGAUCUUCGGACCUUGCGCGAUUGAAUGAGCCGAUGUCGGAUUAGCUAGUUGGCGGGGUAAAGGCCCACCAAGGCGACGAUCCGUAGCUGGUCUGAGAGGAUGAUCGGCCACACUGGAACUGAGACACGGUCCAGACUCCUACGGGAGGCAGCAGUGGGGAAUAUUGGACAAUGGGCGCAAGCCUGAUCCAGCCAUACCGCGUGGGUGAAGAAGGCCUUCGGGUUGUAAAGCCCUUUUGUCGGGAAAGAAAAGCAGCAGGUUAAUACCCCGCUGUUCUGACGGUACCCAAAGAAUAAGCACCGGCUAACUUCGUG
Molecule: ribosomal RNA, 492 nt
Filed under: uncultured bacterium
Lineage: Bacteria
Description: partial 16S ribosomal RNA
Rfam family: Bacterial small subunit ribosomal RNA
Source: RNAcentral